RNAcentral lists this long non-coding RNA (210 nucleotides) under Amborella trichopoda. RNAcentral describes it as "long non-coding RNA (ATRI_LNC002451)". The record is from RNAcentral. Lineage: Eukaryota; Viridiplantae; Streptophyta; Magnoliopsida; Amborellales; Amborellaceae.
AAAAAUCCGAAAAAAUUAUUAAAAUUCACUAUAAAUAUUGUUUUUUAGGAAUUCAAUAAAAAAUGAGGGUACUCCAUUAAGAAUUUUCAUGUUUUUGAAUGAAUAUGCGAAUAUUGAUAUGUUCUUCCCCUGCAUGAACCGCCAUUCAACAUUUAAUUUACAUCACACAAAAGGAUAAACAUAGAAUUAUCAUGGAAUAAGUAUAUCAAC